GCUUUCUCUUCUUUGAAGAAUAUCUCUCUGGCAAAACAGAUAAUUUAUUUUUCAGUGUCACUCAGAAUAAAAAAAAAAAUCCCGCUUAAAAUAAAAAAGGACACGCUUUUUUAACUGACGAGCGCAAUAAAUCCAUUGCAGACGACUUUAAUUGAACGGGAUAUUGUAAGGAGUAGAGUAGCCUUGCUGCUACGAUUUGCUGAGAUUAAGCCCAUUGCUCUAUAGAUUU
This 229-nucleotide non-coding RNA is filed under the name Linnemannia elongata AG-77. RNAcentral's name for it is "Mortierella elongata AG-77 Eukaryotic large subunit ribosomal RNA". It matches the Rfam family "Eukaryotic large subunit ribosomal RNA", at positions 3170 to 3399 of the family's 3401-position model. Lineage: Eukaryota; Fungi; Mortierellomycota; Mortierellomycetes; Mortierellales; Mortierellaceae. The record is from Rfam by way of RNAcentral.